RNAcentral lists this ribosomal RNA (849 nucleotides) under uncultured bacterium. Its description in RNAcentral is "bacterial SSU rRNA". It matches the Rfam family "Bacterial small subunit ribosomal RNA", at positions 518 to 1378 of the family's 1533-position model. The record is from RNAcentral.
CGGUAAAACGUAGGAUCCGAGCGUUAUCCGGAAUCACUGGGCGUAAAGGGCGUGUAGGCGGUUUGGCAAGUCGGUCAUGAAAGCUCCCGGCUCAACUGGGAGAGGUUGUUCGAUACUGCUAGACUAGAGGGCAAGAGAGGGAGGUGGAAUUCCCGGUGUAGAGGUGAAAUGCGUAGAUAUCGGGAGGAACACCAGUGGCGAAGGCGGCCUCCUGGCUUGCAUCUGACGCUGAGGCGCGAAAGCGUGGGGAGCAAACGGGAUUAGAAACCCCGGUAGUCCACGCCGUAAACGAUGUCAACUAGGUGUUGGGGGUAUAAAAUCCGUCAGUACCGGAGCUAACGCAUUAAGUUGACCGCCUGGGGACUACGAUCGCAAGAUUAAAACUCAAAGGAAUUGACGGGGACCCGCACAAGCAGCGGAGCGUGUGGUUUAAUUCGAGGCUACGCGAAGAACCUUACCAGGGAUUGACAUGUACGUAGUAGGGACGUGAAAACGGACCGACCCUUCGGGGAGCGUACACAGGUGAUGCAUGGCUGUCGUCAGCUCGUGCCGUGAGGUGUCAGGUUAAGUCCUGUAACGAGCGCAACCCCUGUCGUGUGUUAUACGUGUCACACGAGACUGCCGGUGUCAAACCGGAGGAAGGCGGGGAUGACGUCAAGUCAGCAUGUCCUUCAUAUCCUGGGCUACACACACGCUACAAUGGUCGGGACAACAGGCAGCCAAGCCGCGAGGCGGAGCCAAUCCUCUAAACCCGAUCCCAGUUCGGAUUGUAGGCUGCAACUCGCCUACAUGAAGUCGGAGUUGCUAGUAACCGCGCGUCAGCAACAGUGCGGUGAAUACGUUCCCGGG